Molecule: ribosomal RNA, 253 nt
Filed under: uncultured bacterium
Lineage: Bacteria
Description: partial 16S ribosomal RNA
Rfam family: Bacterial small subunit ribosomal RNA
Source: RNAcentral
UACGAAGGACCCAAGCGUUAUCCGGAUUUAUUGGGUUUAAAGGGUGCGUAGGCGGAUUUGUAAGUCAGUGGUGAAAUCCUGCAGCUUAACUGCAGAACUGCCAUUGAAACUGCUUAUCUUGAGUACAUUUGAGGCGGGCGGAAUGUGUCAUGUAGCGGUGAAAUGCUUAGAUAUGACACAGAACACCAAUUGCGAAGGCAGCUCGCUAAACUGUAACUGACGCUGAUGCACGAAAGCGUGGGGAUCCAACAGG